Molecule: ribosomal RNA, 274 nt
Filed under: uncultured bacterium
Lineage: Bacteria
Description: partial 16S ribosomal RNA
Rfam family: Bacterial small subunit ribosomal RNA
Source: RNAcentral
CUACGGAGGGUGCAAGCGUUAUCCGGAUUUAUUGGGUUUAAAGGGUGCGCAGGCGGAUAAUUAAGUCAGUGGUGAAAUCCUCCCGCUCAACGGGAGAACUGCCAUUGAUACUGAUAAUCUGGAAUACGGUUGAAGUGGGCGGAAUGUAGCAUGUAGCGGUGAAAUGCAUAGAGAUGCUACAGAACACCGAUCGCGAAGGCAGCUCACUAAGCCGAUAUUGACGCUCAGGCACAAAAGCGUGGGUAGCGAACAGGAUUAGAAACCCCAGUAGUCC